This is a long non-coding RNA of Gadus macrocephalus (Pacific cod), 928 nucleotides long. RefSeq lists it as uncharacterized. The transcript is spliced from 2 exons. Lineage: Eukaryota; Metazoa; Chordata; Actinopteri; Gadiformes; Gadidae. The record is from RefSeq and is a predicted model, not a curated record.
UGAGUGUGUGAUAGUUUCUAAGAAGUAUAUCUGAAAGGUUUGAAAGUUAUUAGGAAAAGUAGUUUGAAGGAGCAAAGACAAGUAGAAAAGUUGAAAGUUAAAGAAAUGUUUUUUUCAGAAUUAAAGUAGAAGGUUUUUGGUGCGCUCGCAACAGAAAGCCAUGCUUACAGGCCUGGGCUUUCCCUUAUUAUGGUAAAUUGACGCAUUGGAAAGUCCAUGCGUCAAGAGGGGGGAUGGGGAGCCCACAACAACAACCUUGGGUAUACCAAAGCAAACCAAAUAAUUACUCAAGAAAAAAAAAAAUGAAACAAACCCCAUGUAGGUCCCUCAGAGACAUCAUGAAGGACAAUGGGAAAGAGAAGAAGAAUAACGUUUAAAUUUUGGGUUAUACUGUGUAUUAUUAUCACUGACUGGAUUGACAAUCAAUGUUUAGAGUAGUAAACAUUAAGUGCUUGCCAACUACUCAUGUGUUUGCAUCACGGAAGCAGCAUUAAGGACAAAUCAAAUAAGAAUAUUUUUUGUUUGGAAAUGUUUUUAAAAGGUAGCCUUGUUUCUUUGUUUUAGUUUAUUUUUGGUUUUUAUUUUUAUGACUUUUGAAUAUAUGGAAACAGAUGACUUGAUUGUGAUGUUAGGUGAUUUUAUGCUACCUUCUGUAAAAGCGAACGGUGGUAUAAAUAUCUGUACUUGGAGGCCAUGGUUGGACAUAGUAGAUUAUGAACAUAUGCAUGUUGUGAUUAAGUGAUCAUUUUAAUCCUAAAGGUUGCAUCAUUUUGUGAUUAUUAAAUAAUCAAAGGGGGGAUUGUGAUGGAAAAUCUACAUGUUGUAUUGUUUUGGUCUAUAUGAAUUUAAGUUUUGUUGCUAUUCUGUGUAAUUUUAUAUAGUGUCUGCCUUCUGCUCUCCUUUUGGGUCAUUUAAAGUGUGAACGUUC